Molecule: transfer RNA, 69 nt
Filed under: Ictidomys tridecemlineatus (thirteen-lined ground squirrel)
Lineage: Eukaryota; Metazoa; Chordata; Mammalia; Rodentia; Sciuridae
Description: Spermophilus tridecemlineatus (thirteen-lined ground squirrel) tRNA
Rfam family: tRNA
About the family: Transfer RNA (tRNA) molecules are approximately 80 nucleotides in length. Their secondary structure includes four short double-helical elements and three loops (D, anti-codon, and T loops).
Source: Rfam by way of RNAcentral
GGGGUUGUGGCUCAGUGGUACAGCACUUGCCUAGAAUGUGUGAGGCCCUGGGUUCGAUUCUCAGCACCA